CUAGAGGUGUCAGAAAUUUAUGAGUUUGUUUUAGAUACAAGUUAUAGGCUUUAUUGCUUUCUUUAGU
This 67-nucleotide transfer RNA is filed under the name Benedenia seriolae. RNAcentral describes it as "tRNA-Leu". Lineage: Eukaryota; Metazoa; Platyhelminthes; Monogenea; Capsalidea; Capsalidae. The record is from RNAcentral.